AUCCACAUGGAGGUUAGAAAGCUGGGAAGAAGCUAGCCUUCCCUUUCAUCCACCCAUAUUGAGCAACUGGAAACUUUAGAAGAGUUUGAGAGAGAGGAGGAACGCCUCAAGGACAAGCAAGCCUUGGAAUCUCUGGCUGUUUACCAACCGGCUGAUGGCCAAAUUCAACAUGAAGGGGAAAGGGAAGAAGCAGAAACUUCCUCUGGAAAAAAGUGAAACUUACAAAGCAAUUACAGCUGCUGUAAUGAAAUGGGACAAGACAGCUACAGAGGCAACAAUAAACCAUCAUGCAGCAGAACAUCUGAAACAUGCACCGGGGAGGAAGGGAGGGGGAGGGCAUACAGUGUUGCAAAGUAACUAAGUAUAAUGUGUAUAUAUAAAAAUAUGUUAAAGUUACAUUUAAAUAUGAAUUUAAAUUUAAAAUAAAAUAUUACACACACACACACAAGGUUUACCAGACUUAUCCGUUCACAUUGCAUGUCAUGUACCUUUUUGAGUUAAUUAAUGUCAGUAAACUGUGUGUGGUGUUGUUGUUGUUGUUUUUUUAAAUAGCUUAAGUUUUGAGGAUAACCUUAUUAAAGACUGGCAAAAUGUUAUUGUCAUGAAAUGUUUUAUUUGUGUACUUAAAAAAAAGAGAUGUCAUGUAAUAAAAAAUUUC
Paramisgurnus dabryanus is the source of this 658-nucleotide long non-coding RNA. RefSeq lists it as uncharacterized. The record is from RefSeq and is a predicted model, not a curated record. NCBI's taxonomy places the organism in Eukaryota, Metazoa, Chordata, Actinopteri, Cypriniformes, Cobitidae.